GACGAACGCUGGCGGCGCGCCUAACACAUGCAAGUCGAACGGGAUCUAUUAGGAGCUUGCUCUUGGCAGAUCUAGUGGCGGACGGGUGAGUAACACGUGAGCAACCUGCCUUUCAGAGGGGGAUAACGUUGGGAAACCAACGCUAAUACCGCAUAACAUGCCGAGGGGGCAUCCCCUUGGUAUCAAAGGAGCAAUCCGCUGAAAGAUGGGCUCGCGCCCGAUUAGAUAGUUGGUGGGGUAAUGGCCUACCAAGUCUGCGAUCGGUAGCCGGACUGAGAGGUUGAUCGGCCACAUGAGGACUGAGACACGGCCCAGACUCCUACGGGAGGCAGCAGUGGGGAAUAUUGCACAAUGGGGGAAACCCUGAUGCAGCGACGCCGCGUGAGUGAAGACGGUCUUCGGAUUGCAAAGCUCUGUUGAGGGGGACGAUAAUGACGGUACCCCUUUAGAAAGCCACGGCUAACUACGUGCCAGCAGCCGCCGUAAUAC
RNAcentral lists this ribosomal RNA (489 nucleotides) under uncultured bacterium. Its description in RNAcentral is "bacterial SSU rRNA". It matches the Rfam family "Bacterial small subunit ribosomal RNA", at positions 28 to 526 of the family's 1533-position model. The record is from RNAcentral.